GGCCGCGUGGCCUAAUGGCAUGGCGUUAGAUUUCGGCUCUAAAGAUUGUCGGUUCGAAUCCGGCCGUGGUCG
Molecule: transfer RNA, 72 nt
Filed under: Rosellinia necatrix
Lineage: Eukaryota; Fungi; Ascomycota; Sordariomycetes; Xylariales; Xylariaceae
Description: tRNA-Arg
Rfam family: tRNA
About the family: Transfer RNA (tRNA) molecules are approximately 80 nucleotides in length.
Source: RNAcentral